RNAcentral lists this ribosomal RNA (468 nucleotides) under uncultured bacterium. RNAcentral describes it as "partial 16S ribosomal RNA". It matches the Rfam family "Bacterial small subunit ribosomal RNA", at positions 28 to 507 of the family's 1533-position model. The record is from RNAcentral.
GACGAACGCUGGCGGCGUGCUUAACACAUGCAAGUCGAACGGACAGGCCCUGCUUUUGUGGGGUGCUCGUGUGGCGCACGCGUGAGUAACACGUGUGUAACCUGCCCUUGUCUUUGGGAUAACUUCACGAAACUGGGGCUAAUAUCCGAUAGGAGCUCCUGCUGCGUGGUGGUCGAUGGUAAGUUUCGGCGGUUGGGGCUGGACUGGCGGCUUAUCGGCUUGUUGGUGUGGUAGUGGCUUACCAAGGCUUCGACGGGUAGCCGGCCUGAGAGGGUGACCGGCGACAUUGGGACUGAGGUACGGACCAGUCUGGUACGGGAGGCAGCAGUGGAGAAUAUUGCGCAAUGGGGGGAAGCGUGAUACAGCAGCGCCGCGAGCGGAAAGCCGGCCUUCUGGUUGUAAACCGCUUUCGACGGUGACGAGGCGGGAGUGACGGUAAUGGGUAAAGAAGCAACGGCUAACUACGUG